Molecule: long non-coding RNA, 1267 nt
Organism: Astatotilapia calliptera (eastern happy)
Lineage: Eukaryota; Metazoa; Chordata; Actinopteri; Cichliformes; Cichlidae
Source: Ensembl
AAAAACAAAAACUCAUGUUGAUGCCCCCAAAGUUACGCCGAUGUCCUUUGAUAUCGUCCUCAUUUCACACAAGGCACCUGCUUCAUUAGAAUGAUAUUACCAGAAAUUAUUUCAUUCAGUUUAAUUGGGAAAUGAGAAAAUGGCUUAGAGAAACAAUGAGUGGAAGAAAACUGGGCCAAAGCACUCGAUGGAUGAUGGACAGCUUGUAUCUCUCUGGGUCAUUGGGCAGGUGCAGCAAACUUACUGUUACAGCAUCUAAGAGAUUAAUUUAUUAUAUCAUUGGUAUCUUUCAGCAGGUUUUCAGGCACUGCACUCAGCCCACAUGCUCAAAACAUUCAAAUUUGCACUAAAUAGUACAUCAAACACAUUUUCCCAAUGCACGUCCAUUCUAAGUUCAUGUAUGCAUUUAUAACUGAUGUCACCAGUUUGAUUAUAGCUUUAAAUUGGUCUCAUGGUAUACACAGCAGUAAAAACAAAUAGUUAUUUCAGUAAUUUGAUUAAACAUGUGAAAGAUCACAGUCCCAUAUUUCCCACAGUAAGUAAAUGUAUUUUAAAGCACCUUUUAAAAGACAAACUGUGACGUGCUUUAUAUCAGAUAAAACCAACAAAAUAAAAUGAAUGAAUGAACUAAACUUAUGAAUAAAAUAAAGUUCACUAUCAGUAACAUCAUAGCACCCACCCAGCUGAAUAGAAACUCUGUCAUGCUAGCUAGUACACAGUAUGAGUUAUUGUAACUAACUGUAAAAAGUUGGCACAAUGAAAAUAAACUACACCUAAACUUAGACUGCAGGUUAUAACUUCUCACCUGAAGUUCAGUUCACCUGACACUCGGACCGGCGGCUGCCUCGGGUCUCUCCUCCUCCUGCCUCCCCUUUCCCUCAUCUACCCGCUGGCAUCUGUGGAAGCUCCACCAUAGCCACCACCAAACAACGGAGUUAUUUUUACACAUCUGCCAGCAUCUGGCCAAUCCACCACCUUUCACUGUUUAUACCCCCGCCCCCCAAAAAAAACAAAACCCCAAAACAAGCAAACAACAAAAAAAAGACCAUUGGCCAUUAAAAAUGAAAAAUCGCCAGUCCAGCCAUGCUGCUUUGUGAACGAGUCCACUAAGAUUACAGGUCACAGAUUGAUCUCCACAACUGUAAAGGUUUUGUCUCCAUUAGAUGUAGGGAUUGAUAACAAACCGCGUGCCAUUAGAGCCCUCUUGCUCGCUGAUGCUCACCAUUCAGAGUGCUAGAGGUCAAAACCAGACCUGUGAAUUGAAUUC